CGGAAAACAAACUGUUCCUUUUUUCAGGAAGAGAGAACAGGCGCUAGUUCUAAUAUUCACUUCUAUUUGUCAUCAGAUAUAAUCCACAUUUUGGGGAAUAGACGUUUUUGAUUAUUUGGAAUGAUCCUACCAUGUAUGAACAAAAAUCAAAUAGAUGGCUGAUCAAGUAAGAUUCGACAAAUUCUCUCUUCCCUGUUUAAAAUAUUGGUUGUAGAAUUGCAUAAAUUGUCAGCCAUGAUGACGUUGCAGCCACCGAAGAGAUAAUCCCCGGGCUUCAUGGCAAAUCUACACAAUAUGGAUCAGCUUGCCCGAGCAAUAGGAAGCUGCCUCCCUGUGCAAGAACAAAAAGGGGAAAAACAAUUGCACGCUCCCUACGCAGGCAUUAUCCUGUUCAGGUUCAAAGGGACUUUCUCAGCCUGACCUGCUCUUUCUUCUGACCAAAUGGCCAGUUUUAAAGCAGAAAACAGGCACCCCUCUAUCUGGAAAGCAAAAAGGCAUAUC
This 501-nucleotide unclassified non-coding RNA is filed under the name Hevea brasiliensis (rubber tree). Lineage: Eukaryota; Viridiplantae; Streptophyta; Magnoliopsida; Malpighiales; Euphorbiaceae. The record is from RNAcentral.